RNAcentral lists this non-coding RNA (98 nucleotides) under Astrosyne radiata. Lineage: Eukaryota; Bacillariophyta; Fragilariophyceae; Cyclophorales; Cyclophoraceae. The record is from RNAcentral.
GUGGUUCCAUUCCAACAGAGAUCGGAAUGCUAUCCAAUCUACGUGAUUUGUUCAUGGGUACCAACAAAUUCGAGGGAAAGAUUCCUCCCACAAUUGGA